CCAUGCAGUCGACGAUGAUGCCCUGCUUGCAGGGUGGAUUAGUGGCGAACGGGUGAGUAACACGUGGGUGAUCUGCCUCGUACUUCGGGAUAAGCUUGGGAAACUGGGUCUAAUACCGGAUAGGACUGCACUGUAGGGGUGUGGUGGAAAGUUUUUCGGUACGAGAUGAGCCUGCGGCCUAUCAGCUUGUUGGUGGGGUAAUGGCCUACCAAGGCGUCGACGGGUAUCCGGCCUGAGAGGGUGUACGGACACAUUGGGACUGAGAUACGGCCCAGACUCCUACGGGAGGCAGCAGUGGGGAAUAUUGCACAAUGGGCGCAAGCCUGAUGCAGCGACGCCGCGUGGGGGAUGACGGCCUUCGGGUUGUAAACUCCUUUCGUCAGGGACGAAGCCAUCUUUGGUGGUGACGGUACCUGGAUAAGAAGCACCGGCUAACUACGUGCCAGCAGCCGCGGUAAUACGUAGGGUGCGAGCGUUGUCCGGAAUUACUGGGCGUAAAGAGCUCGUAGGUGGUUUGUCGCGUCGUCUGUGAAAUUCCGGGGCUCAACUCCGGAUGGGCAGGCGAUACGGGCAUAACUUGAGUGCUGUAGGGGAGACUGGAAUUCCUGGUGUAGCGGUGAAAUGCGCAGAUAUCAGGAGGAACACCGAUGGCGAAGGCAGGUCUCUGGGCAGUUACUGACGCUGAGGAGCGAAAGCAUGGGUAGCGAACAGGAUUAGAUACCCUGGUAGUCCAUGCCGUAAACGGUGGGCGCUAGGUGUAGGGGGCUUCCACGUCUUCUGUGCCGUAGCUAACGCAUUAA
Molecule: ribosomal RNA, 800 nt
Filed under: Corynebacterium sp. YIM 102404
Lineage: Bacteria; Bacillati; Actinomycetota; Actinomycetes; Mycobacteriales; Corynebacteriaceae
Description: bacterial SSU rRNA
Rfam family: Bacterial small subunit ribosomal RNA
Source: RNAcentral